UCAGGACGAACGCUGGCGGCGUGCUUAACACAUGCAAGUCGAACGGGGCAAUCGAAAGCUUGCUUUGAAAGCCUAGUGGCAAACGGGUGAGUAACGCGUAGGCAACCUACCCUUGGGAUGGGGACAACAGGACGAAAGCCCUGCUAAUACCGAAUGAAGCAUCCCUUCCGCAUGGAGGGGAUAUGAAAGAUGGCCUCUACUUGUAAGCUAUCACCCAGGGAUGGGCCUGCGUCUGAUUAGCCAGUUGGCGGGGUAACGGCCCACCAAAGCGACGAUCAGUAGCCGGUCUGAGAGGAUGAACGGCCACAUUGGGACUGAGACACGGCCCAGACUCCUACGGGAGGCAGCAGUGGGGAAUCUUCCGCAAUGGGCGCAAGCCUGACGGAGCAACGCCGCGUGAAGUGAAGAAGGUCUUCGGAUCGUAAAGCUCUGUUGUUGGGGACGAACGUGCUUUUUGCGAAUAGUGGAAAGCAAUGACGGUACCCGACGAGGAAGCCACGGCUAACUACGUGCCAGCCGCGGC
This 523-nucleotide ribosomal RNA is filed under the name uncultured bacterium. RNAcentral's name for it is "bacterial SSU rRNA". It matches the Rfam family "Bacterial small subunit ribosomal RNA", at positions 24 to 518 of the family's 1533-position model. The record is from RNAcentral.